Molecule: unclassified non-coding RNA, 372 nt
Filed under: uncultured fungus
Lineage: Eukaryota; Fungi
Description: partial contains 5.8S ribosomal RNA and internal transcribed spacer 2
Rfam family: 5.8S ribosomal RNA (bases 1-133)
Source: RNAcentral
UGGCUCUCGCAUCGAUGAAGAACGCAGCGAAAUGCGAUAAGUAAUGUGAAUUGCAGAAUUCAGUGAAUCAUCGAAUCUUUGAACGCACCUUGCGCCUUUUGGUAUUCCGAAAGGCACACCUGUUUGAGUGUCACGACCUAUCAACCUCUAGGUUUCUUCAUUGAGCUCUAGGUGGUUGGAUCUUGAGUGCUGCUGUGACCAUAUUACAGCUCACUUUAAACUCAUUAGCCAAUUCUUCCCCAUCCGGAUUGACUCAACGUGAUAAUAUUUUCGUUGAGGACGCUUGCGCGGCCGAGUGUUGAAUAAUGGCUUAUAAUCUGCAUUUUCUGCACCAUAUCUUUAGACCUCAAAUCAGGUGGGACUACCCGCUGA